RNAcentral lists this ribosomal RNA (2783 nucleotides) under Escherichia coli. RNAcentral describes it as "partial 23S ribosomal RNA". It matches the Rfam family "Bacterial large subunit ribosomal RNA". Lineage: Bacteria; Pseudomonadati; Pseudomonadota; Gammaproteobacteria; Enterobacterales; Enterobacteriaceae. The record is from RNAcentral.
UUGUGAGGUUAAGCGACUAAGCGUACACGGUGGAUGCCCUGGCAGUCAGAGGCGAUGAAGGACGUGCUAAUCUGCGAUAAGCGUCGGUGAGGUGAUAUGAACCGUUAUAACCGGCGAUUUCCGAAUGGGGAAACCCAGUGUGUUUCGACACACUAUCAUUAACUGAAUCCAUAGGUUAAUGAGGCGAACCGGGGGAACUGAAACAUCUAAGUACCCCGAGGAAAAGAAAUCAACCGAGAUUCCCCCAGUAGCGGCGAGCGAACGGGGAGGAGCCCAGAGCCUGAAUCAGUGUGUGUGUUAGUGGAAGCGUCUGGAAAGGCGCGCGAUACAGGGUGACAGCCCCGUACACAAAAAUGCACAUAUUGUGAGCUCGAUGAGUAGGGCGGGACACGUGGUAUCCUGUCUGAAUAUGGGGGGACCAUCCUCCAAGGCUAAAUACUCCUGACUGACCGAUAGUGAACCAGUACCGUGAGGGAAAGGCGAAAAGAACCCCGGCGAGGGGAGUGAAAAAGAACCUGAAACCGUGUACGUACAAGCAGUGGGAGCCUCUUAAUGGGGUGACUGCGUACCUUUUGUAUAAUGGGUCAGCGACUUAUAUUCUGUAGCAAGGUUAACCGAAUAGGGGAGCCGAAGGGAAACCGAGUCUUAACUGGGCGUUAAGUUGCAGGGUAUAGACCCGAAACCCGGUGAUCUAGCCAUGGGCAGGUUGAAGGUUGGGUAACACUAACUGGAGGACCGAACCGACUAAUGUUGAAAAAUUAGCGGAUGACUUGUGGCUGGGGGUGAAAGGCCAAUCAAACCGGGAGAUAGCUGGUUCUCCCCGAAAGCUAUUUAGGUAGCGCCUCGUGAAUUCAUCUCCGGGGGUAGAGCACUGUUUCGGCAAGGGGGUCAUCCCGACUUACCAACCCGAUGCAAACUGCGAAUACCGGAGAAUGUUAUCACGGGAGACACACGGCGGGUGCUAACGUCCGUCGUGAAGAGGGAAACAACCCAGACCGCCAGCUAAGGUCCCAAAGUCAUGGUUAAGUGGGAAACGAUGUGGGAAGGCCCAGACAGCCAGGAUGUUGGCUUAGAAGCAGCCAUCAUUUAAAGAAAGCGUAAUAGCUCACUGGUCGAGUCGGCCUGCGCGGAAGAUGUAACGGGGCUAAACCAUGCACCGAAGCUGCGGCAGCGACGCUUAUGCGUUGUUGGGUAGGGGAGCGUUCUGUAAGCCUGUGAAGGUGGCCUGUGAGGGUUGCUGGAGGUAUCAGAAGUGCGAAUGCUGACAUAAGUAACGAUAAAGCGGGUGAAAAGCCCGCUCGCCGGAAGACCAAGGGUUCCUGUCCAACGUUAAUCGGGGCAGGGUGAGUCGACCCCUAAGGCGAGGCCGAAAGGCGUAGUCGAUGGGAAACAGGUUAAUAUUCCUGUACUUGGUGUUACUGCGAAGGGGGGACGGAGAAGGCUAUGUUGGCCGGGCGACGGUUGUCCCGGUUUAAGCGUGUAGGCUGGUUUUCCAGGCAAAUCCGGAAAAUCAAGGCUGAGGCGUGAUGACGAGGCACUACGGUGCUGAAGCAACAAAUGCCCUGCUUCCAGGAAAAGCCUCUAAGCAUCAGGUAACAUCAAAUCGUACCCCAAACCGACACAGGUGGUCAGGUAGAGAAUACCAAGGCGCUUGAGAGAACUCGGGUGAAGGAACUAGGCAAAAUGGUGCCGUAACUUCGGGAGAAGGCACGCUGAUAUGUAGGUGAAGCGACUUGCUCGUGGAGCUGAAAUCAGUCGAAGAUACCAGCUGGCUGCAACUGUUUAUUAAAAACACAGCACUGUGCAAACACGAAAGUGGACGUAUACGGUGUGACGCCUGCCCGGUGCCGGAAGGUUAAUUGAUGGGGUUAGCGGUAACGCGAAGCUCUUGAUCGAAGCCCCGGUAAACGGCGGCCGUAACUAUAACGGUCCUAAGGUAGCGAAAUUCCUUGUCGGGUAAGUUCCGACCUGCACGAAUGGCGUAAUGAUGGCCAGGCUGUCUCCACCCGAGACUCAGUGAAAUUGAACUCGCUGUGAAGAUGCAGUGUACCCGCGGCAAGACGGAAAGACCCCGUGAACCUUUACUAUAGCUUGACACUGAACAUUGAGCCUUGAUGUGUAGGAUAGGUGGGAGGCUUUGAAGUGUGGACGCCAGUCUGCAUGGAGCCGACCUUGAAAUACCACCCUUUAAUGUUUGAUGUUCUAACGUUGGCCCGUAAUCCGGGUUGCGGACAGUGUCUGGUGGGUAGUUUGACUGGGGCGGUCUCCUCCUAAAGAGUAACGGAGGAGCACGAAGGUUGGCUAAUCCUGGUCGGACAUCAGGAGGUUAGUGCAAUGGCAUAAGCCAGCUUGACUGCGAGCGUGACGGCGCGAGCAGGUGCGAAAGCAGGUCAUAGUGAUCCGGUGGUUCUGAAUGGAAGGGCCAUCGCUCAACGGAUAAAAGGUACUCCGGGGAUAACAGGCUGAUACCGCCCAAGAGUUCAUAUCGACGGCGGUGUUUGGCACCUCGAUGUCGGCUCAUCACAUCCUGGGGCUGAAGUAGGUCCCAAGGGUAUGGCUGUUCGCCAUUUAAAGUGGUACGCGAGCUGGGUUUAGAACGUCGUGAGACAGUUCGGUCCCUAUCUGCCGUGGGCGCUGGAGAACUGAGGGGGGCUGCUCCUAGUACGAGAGGACCGGAGUGGACGCAUCACUGGUGUUCGGGUUGUCAUGCCAAUGGCACUGCCCGGUAGCUAAAUGCGGAAGAGAUAAGUGCUGAAAGCAUCUAAGCACGAAACUUGCCCCGA